Molecule: ribosomal RNA, 468 nt
Filed under: uncultured bacterium
Lineage: Bacteria
Description: partial 16S ribosomal RNA
Rfam family: Bacterial small subunit ribosomal RNA
Source: RNAcentral
GACGAACGCUGGCGGCGUGCUUAACACAUGCAAGUCGAACGGAAAGGCCCUGCUUUUGUGGGGUGCUCGAGUGGCGAACGGGUGAGUAACAUACAAGUAACCUGCCAUUGACUUUGGGAUAACUUCAGGUUACUGUGGCUAAUACCGGAUAGGAGCUCCUGCUGCAUGGUGGGGGUUGGACAGUUGCGGAGGUUGGGGAUGGACUCGCCGCUUAUCAGGUUGUUGGUGGGGUAGUUGCUUACCACGGCUUUGGCGGGUAGCUGGCCUGAGAGGGUGACCGGGCACAUUAGGACUGAGAUACGGCCCAGAGUCAUACGGGAGACAGCAGUGGGGAAUAAUGCACGAUGGGGGGAAGCCUGAUGCAGGAACGACGUGUUCGGGAUGGCGGCCUUCGGGUUGUAAACCGCUUUCGCCUGUGACGAUGCGUGGGUGACGGUAAUGGAUAAAGAAGCACCGGCUAACUACGUG